GUUUCUUAAGACUUCCAGCUUCAUCACGGAGUUUCUCUCGGUUUGUGGGCUCAUCUAAAGUUGAGUAACAGGAGAAGAGUCUGGUGGAGCAAUAGAGGAACAAUUUCAGCCAUUUGGACUCAGCUCAGCCACUAUAGAGGAAAAAAUGACUUCAACAGAAAAGGACCAACAUGGAGCGAGAAGUCAGCGCUCUCAGG
This is a long non-coding RNA of Oreochromis aureus, 197 nucleotides long. RefSeq lists it as uncharacterized. The record is from RefSeq and is a predicted model, not a curated record. The transcript has 3 exons. NCBI's taxonomy places the organism in Eukaryota, Metazoa, Chordata, Actinopteri, Cichliformes, Cichlidae.